GAGAACCUCGAGGUUGGAGGACCUCAAAGUUGAGGGACCUCAAGGAGGUUGGAGAACCUCAAGGUUGAGGGACCUCAAGGUUGGAGAACCUCAACUUUGGAGAACCUCGAGGUUGGAGAACCUCAAAGUUGAGGGACCUCAAAGUUGGAGAACCUCAAAGUUGAGGGACCUCAAAGUUGGAGAAUCUCAAAGUUGAGGGACCUCAGGUUUGGAGAACCUCAAAGUUGAGGGACCUCAAAGUUGGAGAACCUCCAGGAGGUUGGAGAACCUCAAAGUUGGAGAACCUCAAAGUUGAGGGACCUCGAGGUUGGAGAACCUCAAGUUUGGAGAACCU
Poecile atricapillus (Black-capped chickadee) is the source of this 334-nucleotide long non-coding RNA. RefSeq lists it as uncharacterized. Lineage: Eukaryota; Metazoa; Chordata; Aves; Passeriformes; Paridae. The transcript has 3 exons. The record is from RefSeq and is a predicted model, not a curated record.